Molecule: transfer RNA, 76 nt
Filed under: Gammaproteobacteria bacterium
Lineage: Bacteria; Pseudomonadati; Pseudomonadota; Gammaproteobacteria
Description: tRNA-Val
Source: RNAcentral
GCAAGAUUCGUAGCUGCCGCGCCGGUUCGCCCUUACAAGGUGAAGGUCGGCGGUUCGAGACCGUCAGCACGCACCA